Molecule: ribosomal RNA, 291 nt
Filed under: uncultured bacterium
Lineage: Bacteria
Description: partial 16S ribosomal RNA
Rfam family: Bacterial small subunit ribosomal RNA
Source: RNAcentral
UCAGCCCUACGGGAGGCAGCAGUAGGGAAUCUUCCACAAUGGGCGAAAGCCUGAUGGAGCAACGCCGCGUGGGUGAAGAAGGUCUUCGGAUCGUAAAACCCUGCUGUUAGAGAAGAAAGUGCGUGAGAGUAACUGUUCACGUUUCGACGGUAUCUAACCAGAAAGCCACGGCUAACUACGUGCCAGCAGCCGCGGUAAUACGUAGGUGGCAAGCGUUAUCCGGAUUUAUUAGGCGUAAAGGGAACGCAGGCGGUCUUUUAAGUCUGAUGUGCAAGCCUUCGGCUUAACCGG